UACAGAGGUGGCAAGCGUUGUUCGGAAUUACUGGGCGUAAAGGGCGCGUAGGCGGCCUUCUAAGUCAGACGUGAAAUCCCCCGGCUUAACCUGGGAACUGCGUCUGAUACUGGGAGGCUCGAGUAUGGGAGAGGGAUGUAGAAUUCCAGGUGUAGCGGUGAAAUGCGUAGAUAUCUGGAGGAACACCGGUGGCGAAGGCGGCAUCCUGGACCGGUAUUGACGCUGAGGCGCGAAAGCCAGGGGAGCAAACGGG
RNAcentral lists this ribosomal RNA (253 nucleotides) under uncultured bacterium. RNAcentral's name for it is "partial 16S ribosomal RNA". It matches the Rfam family "Bacterial small subunit ribosomal RNA", at positions 524 to 776 of the family's 1533-position model. The record is from RNAcentral.